RNAcentral lists this transfer RNA (89 nucleotides) under Elsinoe ampelina. Its description in RNAcentral is "tRNA-Val". It matches the Rfam family "tRNA". Rfam says of the family: Transfer RNA (tRNA) molecules are approximately 80 nucleotides in length. The record is from RNAcentral. Lineage: Eukaryota; Fungi; Ascomycota; Dothideomycetes; Myriangiales; Elsinoaceae.
GCUAUCUUGGUCUAGCGGUAUGACGCUCGCCUCACAAGCAGCAAUGCAGUGUUCGCGAUAGGUCCGGAGUUCGAUCCUCCGAGAUAGUA